Molecule: RNA transcript, 970 nt
Organism: Planococcus citri (citrus mealybug)
Lineage: Eukaryota; Metazoa; Arthropoda; Insecta; Hemiptera; Pseudococcidae
Exons: 4
Source: RefSeq, a predicted model, not a curated record
CAGAAUUACGUUACCUAUAUUGUAAUUUCAAAGGUUCGUUCGCAUUCCAUGUAGGUACUGUACAUUAUCAUCAAGAAUAAAAUGGACAUCCGUCACCUAUUCCGCGUUUCUGUCAUAUUUUUCUGUAUCAACUCCUUAACUUCCAGAUCAAUUCCAGGAAAGGGCGAUGGCCAAACAUCGCAACGUGAGCCUAGUGUCCCCGUUGGAAUUGAUGAGUUUGUGAAGGAGAUGGGCAUCAAUAAACCAUUCAACAGAUUAUCCAAGGCGGAUUUGAUCACCAUAUUUCGUCAACUUGAGAAAAAACAAUAUGCUAACGAAUCGGAAUCGGUUAGUUUGGCAUUAUCGAGUACUGAUAAAAAACGAGUACCUAUGGCAUCACUAGUUAUUUACAAUUUAGGCGACCUGACAAAAUUGAACUACCUACGAGAAAUGAACGAAUUGCAAGACAGAGUGAACGAGCUCAGAAACAAAGUAGCAAGAAUGAAAGCAAUAAUGUUGAGGAAGCCGCUGUUUGGUGGGGAUGCCAUACGGACCAAAAGGACUAAAACUUAAAUAGACCUAUUUAACUUCGCAAGAAAUUUACUCAACUCGAUGGUAUGAUUUGUCAACACAGCAUCGAAAAAAUAUCCUGAUAUUUUUAGGCCAAGCCCAGGCAAUUUUUGAUUUGUCUGCCUAUAGAGCAUACCCAUUCAGAUUAAACACAGUUCUCCGGUUUGCCAAUAUGGUCUACUCUGCGGCUAAUUUCUUGCGCACUAUAACUAAAAGGUGACCAUGAAAAUGUAUGUUGUACUUGUGUAUGGUAAUAAUGUAAAGAAUGAUUGCCAAUUAUACAUAGAAUGUAUGUAAUAAUUAAUGAAUUCAGACCCUACCAAAUUUGUUUAUCCAUGUGAUGUACAGUUUUUCAAAUAAGUACAAUGAUGUUGUUUUUGAUGAAGAUGAUAUUUUUUAGUAACUACCAAGACUAUGCAUU